UACGAAGGGGGCUAGCGUUGCUCGGAAUUACUGGGCGUAAAGCGCACGUAGGCGGUCUUUUAAGUCGGGGGUGAAAUCCUGGAGCUCAACUCCAGAACUGCCUUUGAUACUGGCGACCUUGAGUCCGGGAGAGGUGAGUGGAACUGCGAGUGUAGAGGUGAAAUUCGUAGAUAUUCGCAAGAACACCAGUGGCGAAGGCGGCUCACUGGCCCGAUACUGACGCUGAGGUGCGAAAGCGUGGGGAGCAAACAGG
Molecule: ribosomal RNA, 253 nt
Filed under: uncultured bacterium
Lineage: Bacteria
Description: partial 16S ribosomal RNA
Rfam family: Bacterial small subunit ribosomal RNA
Source: RNAcentral